Molecule: long non-coding RNA, 998 nt
Filed under: Macaca mulatta (Rhesus monkey)
Lineage: Eukaryota; Metazoa; Chordata; Mammalia; Primates; Cercopithecidae
Description: lncRNA (ENSMMUG00000051380.1)
Source: RNAcentral
AGUAUUUUUUUUUUUUUUUUUUUUUUUUUUUUUUUUUUAGUAGAGACGGGGUUUCACCGUGUUAGACAGGAUGGUCUCAAUUGCCUGACCUCGUGAUCCGCCCGUCUCGGCCUCCCAAAGUGCUGGGAUUACAGGCUUGAGCCACCGCGCCCGGCCAAGUUGCAGGUUUAGAAGAACUUCUGGGACCAGUCUGUUCGCCAGAGGAUGACUCCAGAGAGAAUCGCCCCAUUUCUGAAAGGAGCAUGGUUCCAGAUGUUGGCCUGGACCCUGUCACUAAACAGCUUUGUGCUAACUGAUGUCUGCUAACUAUACAGGGAGCCUGAAAAAGCAUGUUCUUUGUAGUCAGACCAAGUUGCAUUUGACUGUACUCUGAACUUGAGGAUUACUCACUUUCCCUGAGCCUUAAUUUCCUCAUUUGUAAAAUGGGAAUCAUAGGAGAGGUGGGAUAACAUUUGCCAAACAUGAAUCCCACCCUCAGACUUGAGAUGCAAAGAAAUGUUUUCUUUCUUUACAUUUCCACAUGAAAUCCCACCUGCUUCCAACUUGACCACUUGGCAAGAAUCCCCCAGCAGUCACCCACAGGGCCACUCUUCUCUUCCCGGGGACUUUGUUGAGAUUCAGCAGAGCAUAUAACAAAGAAAAAAAAAGAGCAAGAAACAAUUCACUUUCCAGCACAGACCCUGGGACGCAGCAGAUCUGGGUUGCAGUGGAGCCUCUGGGCUGGGCCAGGCCAGAAAAGCCACACCAAAUAAUCUUGGGGAACAGCUGUGCAACCAUCCUUUCCCAGCAUGCUCAGGAUUCUGCAAACGUCCUCUGCCUUCUCUAAGGGCCCCAUCUCCCUUUCGGGGUUCUGUAGUGUGUGUUCAGCUUCUGGCCUAUGUCUUUCACUGUGUCGGGGUAUUUUUAGGUGGAUAGAAUAGGGUGAGGGGCACUAGGAUCUAUCAUGACUGGGGGGAAUAGGCAGGCCCAGUAUUAACAUGGCGUGUGUGUGUGUGUGU